UGGGACAGGUGAGAAGGGAGGAGCCAGGACAGGUGGGACAGGUGAAGGUGGGACAGGUGAGGAAGAGGAGCCAGGAGAGUUAGGACAGGUGAGAAGGGUUAAACCAGGACAGGUGAGGACAGGUGAGGACAGGUGAGCAGGGCGAGGCAGGUGAGGACAGGUGAGGACAGGU
Molecule: long non-coding RNA, 172 nt
Organism: Vidua macroura (Pin-tailed whydah)
Lineage: Eukaryota; Metazoa; Chordata; Aves; Passeriformes; Viduidae
Exons: 3
Source: RefSeq, a predicted model, not a curated record